Molecule: ribosomal RNA, 301 nt
Filed under: uncultured bacterium
Lineage: Bacteria
Description: partial 16S ribosomal RNA
Rfam family: Bacterial small subunit ribosomal RNA
Source: RNAcentral
CAGUAGCCGCGGUAAUACGGAGGGUGCAAGCGUUAAUCGGAAUUACUGGGCGUAAAGCGCACGCAGGCGGUCUGACAAGUCAGAUGUGAAAUCCCCGGGCUUAACCUGGGAACUGCAUUUGAAACUGUCAGGCUGGAGUCUUGUAGAGGGGGGUGGAAUUCCAGGUGUAGCGGUGAAAUGCGUAGAGAUCUGGAGGAAUACCGGUGGCGAAGGCGGCCCCCUGGACAAAGACUGACGCUCAGGUGCGAAAGCGUGGGGAGCAAACAGGAUUAGAUACCCCGGUAGUCCCUGUCUCUUUACA